Long non-coding RNA from Equus caballus (horse), 3014 nucleotides. The record is from Ensembl. Lineage: Eukaryota; Metazoa; Chordata; Mammalia; Perissodactyla; Equidae.
CACAUUCAUAGCAAAAAAAUGUUGAUAACAUAUGUGACUAUCCUAUUUAAUUGACUUUAAGAUUACCAUCAUGAAUUUUGAGAGUGAUUUUAUUCUGAUGAAAAAAAUCUCUCAUUUACUAACAGCUUAUUUACUAUGAAAACUUAGUUAUCCAUUAGAUUGUGGAAUGGAAUUUUAUUUUACACAAAUGAAAGUCCCGCCAUGAAGUUUGGAAGGAAAAGGCUCUUGAUGUGUGAUGAGUGGUUUUUAGUGGUUUUGUGCUGAGCAGGUCUCUUUUCUUUGGGUAAAACUUAAAGUACUCUCUCACAUUCCCUGAUGGAAAUGAGAGGUAACUGAGUCACCCUAAGUGACAUCACUGAGUAGUGACAGAGCUAACAGUGAAAGCCAAAUGCUGCCCCCACCCCCACCUACUCCCAGGGCCGCGCGUGUCCGGUACCCACUGCCUCUACCGGAGGGAACCUCGCCGAACGUUAGAAGAACCACGUCCUCGAAGGGCAACUAAAUACUGUAACUUGACCGUGGAAAGUGUCGUGUUCUACUUUAAGAAAGACAGAAAUCUUUGUCUUUGGAUAUUUUGUUAUUUAUUCAAUACACAUUUGUAAGCAUUUACUACUUAGCAGAGACUAGGUAUAACAGGGAUCGAGUCCCGCUUUCCCAGAGCUGACGCUAGAGCGAGGGGCGAAGGCCUGGGGGCAGACAGUGCAUUUAGUACAUGACGUGUGAGGAGUGCAGUGAGGAAAGAUGAAGCCGGAUGAGGGCAUCAAGAAUGCUGUUUUGAGAGUAACCGGGGGAGGCCCCUCGGAAAAUGUGCCAGCUGAGCAGAGACCAAGGCCGUGUGGGUUUCUGGAGAAGGGCCAUCAAGGGGGAUUCUGGGAGGGGAAUGUGGGUGUGACCUCUGACUGUCCUUGUUUUCUCUGUGAAAGAAGCAGCACACUUACCAGCCAAGAAAGGGGAAAGCGUGAGAGCUUUCAUGAGACGCUCUCCCAGGAGAAUAGGGGAUAGAAUGGACUUAGUGGCAUGUGGUGGUAGAUUGUCACGCAGCACCAAGAGCCCAUCCUGGAUGUGAGUCAUGAACUUGAAACUGAAACGAGUUAGCAUGCUGUGUCUUUCCUCUACCGCACUCAGCUGAUGGGUGAAAGCUGGGUUUGAGCAGGGUUGGUACAAGGAACAGAGGAGCCGGGGGAUGUAUACAAGGGUGUGACUGUCAUUUAAGCAAAAGGAGCACAGAAUGGGUGAUGGAUAGAGAAAACAUAGUGGGUGUCGUAGUUUUGAGGUCCUGUUGAGGUCAAAGUGCUCGUAGAGCGUGGAUACCAGAGGGAACAAGCUGGAGAGUAGGACGUGGUGGUCAGGAUCUAGGAUGCUUGAGAUUGAGGUUUGGGGGAAGUUUAGAUAUUGGUAAUGACAAGAUACAGGGUAUGGCCAUGGGAGUGCCUGGUUGAGUAGUGAAAAGGUGGCUGGGGAGAGGAGGUCAGAAGUGAGAAUCCAGGGUUUUUGAUGCAUCAUUGCCAAGAAAAAUGACAGGAGUAGUGGUGGGGAGAUGGGCCCUGUAAAUAAGGGGGGGCGGGAUAGUCUGUGGGCUGAUGGCAUGAGCUCAGAAGACCUGGGGUCGGCAAGGAGAAGAUACGCUGGAUGUCUCCAAAUGCCUUCCUUGGGGGUGAGAUAAAAAACGGCCACCCGUGAAGUUUGCAAGGGAGGUAGCAUCCUCAGAAGACAGUGAGGUUUCGGAGGAUGUGGAGUUGACUGCGCUGGAGCGAGGGCAGGGCAAGACUCCUGCUGGCGGGAGAGGGACAGUCAGGCCCACUGCCUCCUGAUGGGACGUGGCUCUGCUCAUUUGUGGGGCAGGGAGUGAUGAGAGAAGGGGCAUGCUUACCAUGAGUUCUCGGGGCCCCCCUCAAUGAACUGAAAUCGUCAGUGACGUCAGCGGUUCUCAGAGUUCCUGGUGGGCAUGGGAUGAGCAUUUCCUGCGAGAGCUUCUUGGUACACGUCUGUCGCUCCUCAGAUCUGAUGUCCACCACCCAGCUAGGGGGUCGACCAGAGAUGGGUGUUUUAAAAGAAUGUCCCAGGUGUUGUGAAAAACCUCCUAAUCCCCUACUAGAACCAUAGUUUUUGUUUUGUUUUGUUUUUUGAGGAAGAUCAGCCCUGAGCUAACACCUGCUGCCAGCCCUCCUCUUGUUGCUGAAGAAGACUGGCCCUGAGCUAACAUCCGUGCCCAUCUUCCUCUACUUUCUACGUGGGAUGCCUACCACAGCAUGGCUUGCCAAGCGGUGCCAUGGCCGCACCCGGGAUCCGAACCGGCGAACCUCGGCCCCUGAAAAGUGGAACGUGCACACUUAACCACUAUGCCACCGGGCUGGCCCCCAGAACCAUAGUUUAAUAGGAACAUACAAUGUGACUUACAGAAAUGUUUCCAUACUACUUUUAAGGAACACAUCUGUAGCACAAAUCAAGUGCAUUGACGGAAAAAAUUCUGUAUUUUAUUUAUACAUUAAUGUAUACAGAUGUGCUGAAAACUAUUGAAAAGCUAUUUGUGGAUAUGAAUCCAAUGGAGUCAACUCAUGAGACUAUGAAAUACACGUAUUAGCAAAGUGUUGUGUUAAGAAAACUGUGACUCCCCCAUUCAAAGUAGCUUUUGAAGACACUAGAAGUACUUUUGAAAGCCAAAAAAGAUGAACCCUCACAAAGCUGAAAACAACACUGCAGACGUCAUCUAGGUGGAGUCACUAACAACUGAAAGAAGACAGAGUUUAAGGGAAAAAACCCAUAAGCUUUGGCACAUGAAACAGAGACCUCCCUCCUGAAAAAUAAAAAUGACGCCAUCUUGGUCCGGGUUGUGACCCGGGCUUCCAACCAACCGGCUGUAGAUCAGAGGUUCCCAUGACUUCUUCCUCGGGUUCGGUUAAUUUGCUAGAGCAGCUCCCAGAACUCAGGGAAACACGUCGGCCAGCUUCUUAAAGGAUAAGGUAAAGUCGACAGGUGAACGGCCGGGUGAAGAGAGAGAGAGGGCGAGGUCUGGG